Molecule: ribosomal RNA, 1821 nt
Filed under: Triticum aestivum (bread wheat)
Lineage: Eukaryota; Viridiplantae; Streptophyta; Magnoliopsida; Poales; Poaceae
Description: partial small subunit ribosomal RNA
Source: RNAcentral
AUGGCCAUUCAGUGGUUGUAUGCUGCUCUGGUCCAAAUCCUUCUCUGCCUUGUGCUCUGCCAGCCAUGCUAUGGCACAGUAACUGACAUCCAAUGCCUGAAGAGGGUGAAGGCAUCAGUUGAUCCAAACAACAAGUUGCAUUGGACAUUUGAUGACAACAAAGAAGGAUCCAUAUGCACUUUUAACGGCGUGGAGUGCUGGCAUCCUAAUGAAAACCGGAUUCUUUCUCUUCGGCUUAGCAGCAUGGAUCUGAAGGGCCAAUUCCCUGAUGGACUGGAGAACUGUAGUAGCAUGACUUCGCUGGAUCUAUCAAGCAACAGCCUUUCGGGGCCAAUCCCGGCUGACAUCUCAAAACGGCUUCCAUACAUUACAAACAUUGAUCUCUCAUAUAAUAGCUUCUCAGGGGAGAUUCCAGAAUCGCUAGCUAACUGCACCUAUCUCAAUGUUGUCAGUUUACAAAAUAACAAGUUGACUGGAGCAAUCCCAGGGCAGUUUGCUGGUCUUUCUCGCUUAACCGAGUUUAAUGUUGCUAACAAUAAAUUGUCAGGCCAGAUCCCAUCAUCUUUGAGCAAAUUCUCAUCAUCCAAUUUCGUAAAUCAAGACCUCUGUGGGAAACCUUUGAGCGGUGAUUGCACUGCCUCUUCAAGCAGUCGUAUAGGGGUGAUUGCUGGUUCUGCUGUUGCUGGUGCAGUCAUCACUUUAAUCAUUGUUGGUGUGAUUUUAUUCAUUUUCUUGCGGAAAAUGCCUGCCAGAAAGAAGGAAAAGGACCUGGAAGAAAAUAAGUGGGCGAAGUCUAUCAAGGGAGCAAAAGGAGUGAAGGUAUCAAUGUUUGAGAAAUCAGUCUCAAAGAUGAAAUUGAAUGAUCUGAUGAAGGCAACAGGUGAUUUUACCAAGGAAAACAUUAUUGGAACUGUUCAUUCCGGAACUAUGUACAAAGCUACGCUUCCUGAUGGUUCAUUCCUUGCUAUCAAGAGGUUGCAAGAUACUCAGCAUUCAGAGAGCCAAUUCACAUCCGAGAUGUCAACAUUGGGAAGCGCUAGGCAACGCAACUUAGUUCCACUAUUAGGUUACUGCAUUGCUAAGAAAGAGAGGCUCUUGGUGUACAAGUACAUGCCCAAGGGUUCACUCUAUGAUCAACUGCACCAUGGAGGCAGUGAUAGAGAGGCUCUGGCAUGGCCGUUGAGGCUAAAAAUUGCCAUUGGGGCUGGUAAAGGGUUGGCGUGGCUUCAUCACAGUUGCAACCCCCGCAUUCUUCACCGCAAUAUUAGCUCCAAGUGCAUACUACUUGAUGAUGACUAUGAGCCUAAGAUUUCAGAUUUUGGCCUGGCAAGGCUUAUGAAUCCAAUCGACACCCACCUGAGCACAUUCGUCAAUGGCGAGUUCGGCGACUUGGGUUAUGUAGCUCCUGAGUACACGCACACCCUUGUCGCCACGCCAAAAGGGGAUGUCUAUAGUUUUGGUGUAGUCUUGCUUGAACUGGUCACCGGUGAAGUGCCCACGCGUGUAUCAAAGGCCCCAGAAAAUUUCAAAGGGAGUUUGGUAGAUUGGAUAACAUACCUAUCAAACAACUCUAUACUUCAAGAUGCAGUGGACAAGUCCAUGAUCGGAAAGGACAAUGACGCCGAGCUGCUUCAAGUUCUGAAGGUCGCCUGUUCCUGCGUGCUUUCUGCUCCAAAGGAAAGACCUACAAUGUUUGAAGUGUACCAGCUUCUGAGGGCUGUUGGGGAGAAAUACCAUUUUAGCGCCGCUGAUGAUGAACUGGCGCUCCGACCACAGGAUGCAGACUCUAAGAAGCUGGAUGAGCUUAUUGUGGCGAAAUAG